RNAcentral lists this ribosomal RNA (458 nucleotides) under uncultured bacterium. Its description in RNAcentral is "bacterial SSU rRNA". It matches the Rfam family "Bacterial small subunit ribosomal RNA", at positions 340 to 786 of the family's 1533-position model. The record is from RNAcentral.
UACGGGAGGCAGCAGGGGGAAUAUUGGACAAUGGGCGCAAGCCUGAUCCAGCCAUGCCGCGUGUGUGAAGAAGGCCUUCGGGUUGUAAAGCACUUUUGUCCGGAAAGAAAAGCUUAGGGUUAAUAACCUUGAGUCAUGACGGUACCGGAAGAAUAAGCACCGGCUAACUUCGUGCCAGCAGCCGCGGUAAUACGAAGGGUGCAAGCGUUACUCGGAAUUACUGGGCGUAAAGCGUGCGUAGGUGGUUUGUUAAGUCUGAUGUGAAAGCCCUGGGCUCAACCUGGGAAUGGCAUUGGAAACUGGCUUACUAGAGUGCGGUAGAGGGGUGUGGAAUUCCCGGUGUAGCAGUGAAAUGCGUAGAUAUCGGGAGGAACAUCUGUGGCGAAGGGCGACACCCUGGGACCAGCACUGGACACUGAGGGCACGAAAGCGUGGGGAGCAAACAGGGAUUAGAUACC